Long non-coding RNA from Vidua macroura (Pin-tailed whydah), 664 nucleotides. RefSeq lists it as uncharacterized. The transcript has 2 exons. NCBI's taxonomy places the organism in Eukaryota, Metazoa, Chordata, Aves, Passeriformes, Viduidae. The record is from RefSeq and is a predicted model, not a curated record.
GUGCUGGCAGUUGCCAUGGAAACCCCUGGCAGGCACUGAUGGCACAGACACUGGCACUCAGACACUGCUGGGCCGGGUGCUGAGCACAGGGCUGAGCACACAGAGAUGGUUUUGUUCUUGCUGAGCUCCCACUGAGCCAAGCCCUGUCCUGCCCCUCAUCCGGCCACCCUGGGGAGGGGCUGGGGCUGUGGGGAGGUUGGGAGGGGACACAGCCAGGACAGGUGACCCGAGCUGAGCCCGGGGAUACCCCAGACCAUCGGACAUCCUGCUCAGUGUAUAAAGUGGGGGAACAAGGAGGAAGGGGGGACAUUUGGAGUGAGGGUUUUUGUCUUCCCAGGUAACACUUGACAGGAUGGGGCAAUGUUUCACCAGAGGGCAGGGUCAGCACCAAAGACACAGACACCAACCUAAGAAAUUGUGUCAUUUAUAUCAUGCAAAACAGCAAAGAAUCACAAAAGGAUAAGCUCAGCAAAGCACAUUGUCAUUAGCAAAGUAUUCCAAAAGGAGCAGCUCAGCAAUGCACCCAACCAUCACUACUCAAGAUUGCCUGCAGUGAUUAAGAAAGAUCCAGCACCAGUUGCCCUCAGGCUUUGCCAUCCCCCAGAUCCAACCUCCCUGUGAGAGGGCCCAGCUUUUACACUGUUAAACAAACAAGCUGACAUCA